This is a long non-coding RNA of Triticum dicoccoides, 336 nucleotides long. RefSeq lists it as uncharacterized. The record is from RefSeq and is a predicted model, not a curated record. NCBI's taxonomy places the organism in Eukaryota, Viridiplantae, Streptophyta, Magnoliopsida, Poales, Poaceae. The transcript is spliced from 3 exons.
UAAGUACCCCCUCCAUAAACUAAUAUAAGAGUGUUUAGAUCACAAACUAAUAUAAGAGUGUUUAGAACGCUCUUAUAUUAGUUAUAGAGGGAGUAUUUGGGAUUGCUGUCUAAAGUGGGGAUGGAUAAAACAGACUAUUUUCAAUACUUGAUUGAUCGUGUCAUGCAGAGGGUGAAUGGUUGGAAAGAGAGGUAAUUAUCAUUGGGCGGUAAAGAAAUCCUUCUCAAGUUAGUUGCACAGGGGGACAGUGACAACCAAAAGAGAAUGCAUUGGAUGGCAUGGUGGAAAUUGUGUGUGCUGAAGUGCAAAGGAGGCAGAGUAUUUUCCUGAUGGAGA